RNAcentral lists this transfer RNA (61 nucleotides) under Salmo salar (Atlantic salmon). The record is from Rfam by way of RNAcentral. RNAcentral also lists the same sequence under 1 other name. Lineage: Eukaryota; Metazoa; Chordata; Actinopteri; Salmoniformes; Salmonidae.
UUGGCUAAGUUAGUAGAGUAUGGCGCUUGCAACGCCAGGGUUGUGGGUUCCAUUCCCAGCA